UGGAUCUGUCUUUGAAGCCAGCUUUUGUGAAUAAAUCAAAGAAAGAGACCACUAAUGGUCAAGCCCAGAAGAAACGCAAAAUGGAAACGCUAGAAGAAUUGGAAGUAAAUCAAACUGUAAAUGCGGUUGUGGAGAUUGUUAAAGAAAAUUACUUGGUUGUUUCACUGCCAUCAUACGAUAACGCUCUUGGAUAUGCAUCAAGAGCUGAUUACAAUACUCAAAAUCUCCCUCCUAAAUCAUUUACCAAUGGAGAAAGUGUCAUUGCAACUGUUAUGGCCCUUCCUUCUCCUUCAACAAGUGGGAGAUUGCUGCUGCUGCUUAAGUCUAUCAGUGAAGCUAUUGAAACGUCAAAUUCCAAGAGGGCUAAAAGGAAAUCUGGUUAUAAUGUUGGGUCGCUGGUUCAGGCAGAGAUUACUGAAAUAAGGCCAAUUGAACUGAGACUAAAAUUUGGGUCAAGUUUCCAUGGGAGGGUGCACAUAACAGAGGCAUCAGAUGACAAUUAUGCUGAAGCUCCAUUUAGUAACUUCAGAUUUGGGCAGACUCUUACUGCAAGGAUCAUUUCAAAGCUCAAUAUGUCAGAAAGUGUUAAGAGAGGCUAUCAGUGGGAGCUAUCCAUUAAACCAUCCACACUUACAGGAUCUGAUGAAAUUGAACCCGAUAAGAAAAUCAGUUAUUCAACUGGCCAGCUCGUUUCUGGCUUUGUGUACAAAGUUGACAAAGAAUGGGCUUGGCUAACGAUAUCCCGAGAUGUUAAGGCCCAGCUCUACAUCUUAAAUAGCUCAAGUGAACCUAGUGAGCUAGAUGAAUUUCAGGAAAGGUUCUCUGUCGGCA
RNAcentral lists this unclassified non-coding RNA (831 nucleotides) under Hevea brasiliensis (rubber tree). Lineage: Eukaryota; Viridiplantae; Streptophyta; Magnoliopsida; Malpighiales; Euphorbiaceae. The record is from RNAcentral.